Molecule: ribosomal RNA, 253 nt
Filed under: uncultured bacterium
Lineage: Bacteria
Description: partial 16S ribosomal RNA
Rfam family: Bacterial small subunit ribosomal RNA
Source: RNAcentral
UACAGAGGUCUCAUGCGUUGUUCGGAUUCAUUGGGCGUAAAGGGUGCGUAGGUGGCGCCGUAAGUGGGGUGUGAAAUCUCGGGGCUUAACUCCGAAACUGCAUUCCAUACUGCGGUGCUCGAGGACUGGAGAGGAGACUGGAAUUUACGGUGUAGCAGUGAAAUGCGUAGAGAUCGUAAGGAAGACCAGUGGCGAAGGCGGGUCUCUGGACAGUUCCUGACGCUGAGGAGCGAAAGCCAGGGGAGCAAACGGG